This is a non-coding RNA of Xyrichtys novacula (pearly razorfish), 310 nucleotides long. The record is from the annotation of a GenBank genome assembly. NCBI's taxonomy places the organism in Eukaryota, Metazoa, Chordata, Actinopteri, Labriformes, Labridae.
AACUGCUCUUGGUGAGUCUACAAACUCUCUGUCAAUGAACUUGGAAUAAUUGCUUACAAUGAGUGAAUAAACAGCACCAAGUUUGAUAUCUUAUUUUUUCUUUCUACGUUCCUUCAGCCUGACAGUGCUAUGUGAAGUUUUGAACUGGUUAUGAAAAGCCUGACCCGGGAUUUCCACCACAUCCGGAAAGGCUCCGAUCCAGAAUGGCAGCGAUUUUCGCCGCACACCAAUUCCUACCUGGAUUCACGUGCAAUCGCGCAAUAACAAGUUGUCUUUCACCACAAAGGCUAACCAUAUAAACAGUAGACUG